Molecule: long non-coding RNA, 972 nt
Organism: Zingiber officinale
Lineage: Eukaryota; Viridiplantae; Streptophyta; Magnoliopsida; Zingiberales; Zingiberaceae
Exons: 2
Source: RefSeq, a predicted model, not a curated record
GGGGGAAGGAGAGAUCCCCUCCCCCACUACCACCUUUGUUGCUUGCUAGAGCCUCCCGCUAGCCAAGGGGCAGCCACUCCCUUCCUAGAGAGAAGAGAGAGAUUCUCUCUCUAGAAAGUGGAGGAGGAAAAGGAUAAAGAUCCUUAACAAGUGGUAUUAGAGUAAGGAUAUUCUCUGUAGGACUAACUGCCAAGGAAGAUAAGGAUGAUUGACUUGAUUGCUCUGCCGAAGUAUGAAAGGGAAAGCUUAUGGGAUAUCACCUUUUGGAUAGUGAAAAUGAAGGCUUUCUUCGAGUCAGAUUGGGGGAUCAUGAUGGUUGUCGAGGAAUCAUUUAAAGUUCCAAGAGACAAGAAAGGGAAGCGAUUUUGACCACAUUAUUGGAUCGAGGAGUAAGGCUCACGAUCAAAGGUGAGUUCAAGAACAUCCAUGAUUUGUGUAGCAAGGUAAAUAUGGUUUUAUUUGAAGAACCUAAGCCUACACACGAAGAAGAAAAGUCCAAUGAAAGGAAUAUAGUGGCUCAAGUGGAGAAGGAUCAACUAGAAGCUGACAUGUGUUCAACUUUCAAGGAGAAGGAAGAUGAGGAAGUGUUGUCCACAUCUUCAAGAGUUGAAGAAGAAUCCAAGACAAGUAAAGAAGAAGUCUUGAAAGUCAACCUUGUAAGCAUCUCAACCGAAAUUAAGUCAAAGACCAUAUCGUUUGCUUUUGUUGUAAUGAGAAAGGACACUGCAAAAGUAGGUGCUCAAUGGGUGAGUAUAAGGUAAAUCUUAAAUCCACUCAAGUUUUUUUAAAUACUAAUAUGGGUUGUAGGAAUGAAGAAGCUGAAAGGAAGAGAAUGCGCAUUGUGUGCUUCACUUGUGGGGAGAAAAAUCACUACCACACUAAAUGCCCUAAGAAGAGGGAAAUCAAGAAGCUAGCAUUUGAAGAAAUCGGAGAAGAUGAAAAGCUCAAGUCAAGGGGGAGUUUCAAGGGUAA